CAGGGGAAUUUAAUUAUUUUAGUUUCUCACGAAAAAUAAAAAAAUAAUCUUUCAAGUGUGUAAUUUAAAAUCAGCUAAGUAAUGACAUAAAUCACGAGGCAAAAAAAUAAUGAUAAAUAGGGAAGCUUUCUAAAUGCCUUAAUUAGUCGAAAAUAUAUCGCACGAGCGGAGGAUGGAAUUGAGAAUGAGAAUAUAAGUUGAGAAUGAAAGCGGCGAUGCUUUUCACCGAGUUGAUUAACCUUAUGGUAGAUCGGCUUACAGCCUCACAGCAGAAUUCUAGUGGGUACCAGACUUUAAACUCCUCGAUGGCAUGCAAGGUAAUAGAUGCAGGCAUAAAAGGAGGAUAAGGAUGAGGAUGAAGAUAGAAGAAAGAAAGGAAUUAAAAGAGGUAAGGCUUUGCUGCAUUGAUCGUCCUCUUCCUGUCGAUCGAUAUACAUACGAGUUUGCUGAGGAAACCAACGACUCUGACGACUCUGAUGACUGUAAGACCCAUACCAAGACCCAAGACCAAAGAUUAAACUCUUUACAACAGCUCCUAAAUUCGAGCCAUUUAAACCAUUCAAACAAGUGGACAAGUCUAUCGGUGAUAUACUAUAUAUUUUAUUAUAUAUUGUCGAUCAUUUCCUUACUGGUAUUAUCAUUUGAAGAGUAAUUGGUUGGUAUAUAUAAAUAUAUGGCAGUAAAGAACCGACAUUUUGACCUUUGACGAUUAAAAGAGAGUGAAAUAAAAAGAAGGAGGGUAUUACAAACAUUAAACAUUAAAUAUUAUAUUAUAUGUGUAUCUCAGCUCCAUUUAUCUCAGUUUAUGUUUUAUUGGCGUAAUUAAA
Molecule: long non-coding RNA, 827 nt
Organism: Cotesia glomerata
Lineage: Eukaryota; Metazoa; Arthropoda; Insecta; Hymenoptera; Braconidae
Exons: 3
Source: RefSeq, a predicted model, not a curated record